AUGGCGGUGACGGGGUUAGGCUACCUGGCGCUCACAUGGUCGACGGUAGUCCUCCUCGGUGGCUUCGUCACCGGGCUGGAGAAGAAGGAUUUUUGGUGCCUCACGAGCAUUAGCAUGGUACAGGCAGCAAGGAUCUUCAACGACUCAGGGGACAACCUAUUUCCUAUAUUUCGGAAGCUAAUGAGAAAUCUUGCGAGGAAGGUUCUUGCAAACCCUGUAGAAGGUGUUCUACAAAAAUUGUAUCAACAUCGCACAGGGCAUGGUGCCUUAACUGUUCUCUGGGUACAAGCUGUCCUCAUCAUCGUGCAAAUAUUAUCCAUCCCGGCCCUGGUCGUGGUUCUAAUUGCAGGGAUCCUUUAUGUGGUUGGGCCUGUCGCCUGUAUCGUGCUCUCAUUGUGGCGCCUACGGCAGCAUGAUUAUGGCGACACCACAAAAGACGGCAAAGCGAACCUGGUGCCAGCACUGAUCAUAUUCUACUGUUUGGUCAUUUGCCAAGGUGUACUCUUCUUCUUAUGGUGGUGUAUCGAUUUUGCGGCGAUCUGGGUUGUGGUUUCGCUCCGUGAAGAUUGCAUGUUACCAGAAAAGUGGGGCAGCGUGACAAUUGUAGAUUACCUCUAUGAUACCCGAGCAAAAUGCUGGCAGGACCCUACAUCCAUCGAUGGUAGGAAUUUGAUCCACUAUGCUGUUGAUUUGGUUGACUCAGAAUUGCAGAAAGAAUAUCUCUCAGGAGCAAGGAUGUUGGACAACUUUAUUAAGCUGGAGGCAGAUGUAAGGUCUCUCUUACUCCCUUCUAGAACAAAGAUUCAGAAGCUGAUCGAUACACUAGGGUGGAGAACUGGAGAAGCAGUAACAGAGAACUAA
RNAcentral lists this ribosomal RNA (861 nucleotides) under Triticum aestivum (bread wheat). RNAcentral describes it as "partial small subunit ribosomal RNA". The record is from RNAcentral. Lineage: Eukaryota; Viridiplantae; Streptophyta; Magnoliopsida; Poales; Poaceae.